Molecule: transfer RNA, 74 nt
Filed under: Listeria monocytogenes
Lineage: Bacteria; Bacillati; Bacillota; Bacilli; Caryophanales; Listeriaceae
Description: tRNA-Thr
Rfam family: tRNA
About the family: Transfer RNA (tRNA) molecules are approximately 80 nucleotides in length. Their secondary structure includes four short double-helical elements and three loops (D, anti-codon, and T loops).
Source: RNAcentral
GGGCCUAUAGCUCAGCUGGUUAGAGCGCACGCCUGGUAAGCGUGAGGUCGAUGGUUCGAGUCCAUUUAGGCCCA